This 492-nucleotide ribosomal RNA is filed under the name uncultured bacterium. Its description in RNAcentral is "partial 16S ribosomal RNA". It matches the Rfam family "Bacterial small subunit ribosomal RNA", at positions 29 to 507 of the family's 1533-position model. The record is from RNAcentral.
AGUGAACGCUGGCGGUAGGCCUAACACAUGCAAGUCGAACGGCAGCACAGUAAGAGCUUGCUCUUACGGGUGGCGAGUGGCGGACGGGUGAGGAAUACAUCGGAAUCUACUUUUUCGUGGGGGAUAACGUAGGGAAACUUACGCUAAUACCGCAUAUGACCUACGGGUGAAAGCAGGGGAUCUUCGGACCUUGCGCGAUUGAAUGAGCCGACGUCGGAUUAGCUAGUUGGCGGGGUAAAGGCCCACCAAGGCGACGAUCCGUAGCUGGUCUGAGAGGAUGAUCAGCCACACUGGAACUGAGACACGGUCCAGACUCCUACGGGAGGCAGCAGUGGGGAAUAUUGGACAAUGGGCGCAAGCCUGAUCCAGCCAUACCGCGUGGGUGAAGAAGGCCUUCGGGUUGUAAAGCCCUUUUGUUGGGAAAGAAAAGCAGCAGGUUAAUACCCCGCUGUUCUGACGGUACCCAAAGAAUAAGCACCGGCUAACUUCGUG